Molecule: long non-coding RNA, 1093 nt
Filed under: Homo sapiens (human)
Lineage: Eukaryota; Metazoa; Chordata; Mammalia; Primates; Hominidae
Description: HSALNT0106131
Source: RNAcentral
GACAUUCUCAGAGAGAUAGCUUCAGAGACAAAGAGAAAGCCAGAAGCACUGAGCCAUAUUCAGAUUCAGAAGGAGACAGAGAAGGUAGAGAGGGAGAGAGACCACAGAGAUUUGGAGUAACAGAGGCAGGGCAGACUGACACGAGAACAGAAUCAGGAGAGACCAAGACAACGAGAAGGAAACCAACGUGGACGCGGCCGGGAAGAACGCAGGCGACCCGGGCGAAGCCGGGAACUGAGCCCACCCGCGCGGUGAUCCAUUCCUAGUCUGGCUGGGGGACUGCGUAGAGAAGGAACCUGAGCCGUCGAGAUUUCACUCCUAAGCCUGGGCUUGGGGACAGGGGUUCGCCCUGGACACUGCGGGAGGGUGCGGGAUGGGGCUCCGUGGGGAUUUGCCUAGAGGCAGGGGAUGCCCCAAAUGACCCCUGUAGGGCCCGCCCCCAGGCAGCCACCUCGGCAGCACCCUCCUUUCCUAUGCGCCCUGGGGCCUCUUCAGCUCUAGAGACAGGAGGAUGACUCAACACAGGCCCGAAUUCCUGCCGGAUUCCGUAGGUUUCACUCAGGAAGGAGGCGCCCCCACCCCCACCCCCUCUCACGUCGGACUCGGCUGCAGGGGGAAUGGCAGGUUCUUCCCGGAGGCCAGCGGCGCGCAGCCCCACGGCCCGGGCAGGGCGAGCGGGUGCCCGGCGCGGCGGAGAGUCCCGGGCGCCCUUCCCGCGCGCGCCACCGCGCAGCCCCGCCGGAGGGCCGCGGGCAGCCUCGGCAGAGAAAAUUACAAGAAAAAAAAAAUCAAACCAGGAGCGCUUUAAAACACACAAAGAGUAGCCCUCCCUCCACCCAGCUUCAUUCCACACCCCAUCCACCUCUCACACUCCCCCACCCCUUUUUUAUUUUGGUCUCCAAACUUGAGCCUCAUUAAUUUCCAAAAAAAAUUUCCCCCAAUAAAAGGCAAACAUGGAAAGAAAAACAAACUAUUAGAAAAUAGAGGAGGGAGGAAAUGUUAUUUAAAAGGUUAGCAGACCGCAUCAUUUUCCAAUGAUAUUAUAUACUCCCAGCAGUAUCCAAAAUAUAUAUGGGCCCUGGGCCAAGAAUGU